This 492-nucleotide ribosomal RNA is filed under the name uncultured bacterium. RNAcentral describes it as "partial 16S ribosomal RNA". It matches the Rfam family "Bacterial small subunit ribosomal RNA", at positions 28 to 507 of the family's 1533-position model. The record is from RNAcentral.
GAUGAACGCUAGCUACAGGCUUAACACAUGCAAGUCGAGGGGAAACGACAUCGAAAGCUUGCUUUUGAUGGGCGUCGACCGGCGCACGGGUGAGUAACGCGUAUCCAACCUGCCCAUCACUUGGGAAUAACCUUGCGAAAGUAAGACUAAUACCCAAUGAUAUCCCACGAAGGCAUCGGAAUGGGAUUAAAGAUUUAUCGGUGAUGGAUGGGGAUGCGUCUGAUUAGCUUGUUGGCGGGGUAACGGCCCACCAAGGCAACGAUCAGUAGGGGUUCUGAGAGGAAGGUCCCCCACAUUGGAACUGAGACACGGUCCAAACUCCUACGGGAGGCAGCAGUGAGGAAUAUUGGUCAAUGGGCGAGAGCCUGAACCAGCCAAGUAGCGUGCAGGAAGACGGCCCUAUGGGUUGUAAACUGCUUUUAUAAGGGAAUAAAGUGGGUCACGUGUGACUUUUUACAUGUACCUUAUGAAUAAGGACCGGCUAAUUCCGUG